This 253-nucleotide ribosomal RNA is filed under the name uncultured bacterium. RNAcentral's name for it is "partial 16S ribosomal RNA". It matches the Rfam family "Bacterial small subunit ribosomal RNA", at positions 524 to 776 of the family's 1533-position model. RNAcentral also lists the same sequence under 1 other name. The record is from RNAcentral.
GACGGAGGGGGCUAGCGUUGUUCGGAUUUACUGGGCGUAAAGAGUGCGUAGGUGGUUUAGUAAGUUGGAAGUGAAAGCCCGGGGCUUAACCUCGGAAUAGCUUUCAAAACUACUAAUCUAGAGUGUAGUAGGGGAUGAUGGAAUUCCUAGUGUAGAGGUGAAAUUCUUAGAUAUUAGGAGGAACACCGGUGGCGAAGGCGGUCAUCUGGGCUACAACUGACACUGAUGCACGAAAGCGUGGGGAGCAAACAGG